RNAcentral lists this ribosomal RNA (270 nucleotides) under uncultured bacterium. RNAcentral's name for it is "partial 16S ribosomal RNA". It matches the Rfam family "Bacterial small subunit ribosomal RNA", at positions 30 to 306 of the family's 1533-position model. The record is from RNAcentral.
AUUGAACGCUGGCGGCAUGCUUUACACAUGCAAGUCGCACGGGAUAGGGGCAACUCUAUUUAGUGGCGAACGGGUGAGUAAUACAUCGGAACGUACCCUGUAGUGGGGGAUAACUAGUCGAAAGAUUAGCUAAUACCGCAUAUUCUCUGAGGAGGAAAGCGGGGGACCGCAAGGCCUCGCGCUAUAGGAGCGGCCGAUGUCCGAUUAGCUUGUUGGUGAGGUAAAGGCUCACCAAGGCUGCGAUCGGUAGCUGGUUUGAGAGAAUGAUCA